GCUGCGGCUGUUGCAGCUGUUGCUGCUGCUGCUGAUGUUGCUGCUGCUGCUGCUGCUGCUGCUGCUGCUGGAGCUGCUGC
This 80-nucleotide small RNA is filed under the name Drosophila guanche. The record is from RNAcentral. Lineage: Eukaryota; Metazoa; Arthropoda; Insecta; Diptera; Drosophilidae.